AACGCUGAUUCCUUUUUCUUUUGUCCCUACUCAGAACAAGUAAACACGCCUAUGGAGGUUCCAGUUUGGUCUGAAAAUGAAAAAGAAGAAGAUGAGUUGGAUGAGGAAGCAAGUCUCACUCAAGAGGGGGGAGAACAAGAGUGGGCAAUCAACUCAAAGAGGAAAUGGCAAUGCCAAAAAUGUAAAGAUCACAGAAUAUUAAAACUUCAAAACAGUUUGGUUUAAAUAUCAAGAAAUUAAUGUUACGAGUAGCAGCCAGUUAUUGGUAGAGUUUUAUCAAGUCCAUGACAUUAUUAAAUUCAGAGUUACUUUGUCUUGAGAAUUGAGGAGCUGUAAUAUACUGAUCAUCAUGGCAGGACCACCUAGUAAAAUUUGUUUAUAGAGACUUUUGGAGGAGAGGGGGAAGACUUGUGACAAGCUGGCUGACAAAAACAUGAACUUUACCAAAUGGGUUAAGUGCUCAGUAUUUCAAUCAGCUAUGGCUCAAAUUAAACUUUGCUUUAGCUUCAAGUUUAUUCCUUUGUGUUUGCCUUUCUCUGUGUUUAUUUUUCAAGUUAUGUUACACAAAAGAACACAAAAAUAAUAAUGCUUUUGAAUAUUAGGAGCCUGGCAUAAGCAAGAAAUCAAAGUUAAUUUGGGUAAUAAAGUUAAUUUGAUCUUCCAAUGUUCUUUCAUUUUAACCACUAAUAAAAUUUUCCAUUUAAAUUUAUCCUCUCCAUUGUUUUGGAUGUUGUAUGUAAAAAAAAAAA
Stylophora pistillata is the source of this 749-nucleotide long non-coding RNA. RefSeq lists it as uncharacterized. The record is from RefSeq and is a predicted model, not a curated record. NCBI's taxonomy places the organism in Eukaryota, Metazoa, Cnidaria, Anthozoa, Scleractinia, Pocilloporidae.